This 664-nucleotide ribosomal RNA is filed under the name uncultured bacterium. RNAcentral's name for it is "bacterial SSU rRNA". It matches the Rfam family "Bacterial small subunit ribosomal RNA", at positions 158 to 835 of the family's 1533-position model. The record is from RNAcentral.
CGGAGCUAAUACCGCAUAUAACCGCAAGGUAAAAGGGUGUAACUACCCGCUAGAAGAGCGGCUCGCGUCCCAUCAGCUUGUUGGUAGGGUAAUGGCCUACCAAGGCAACGACGGGUAGCUGGACUGAGAGGUUGGCCAGCCACAAGAGCACUGAGACACGGGCUCUACUCCUACGGGAGGCAGCAACCGGGAAUCGUAGACAAUGGGCGAAAGCCUGAUCUCGCGACGCCGCGUGGAGGAUGAAGGCCUUCGGGUUGUAAACUCCUUUUAUAAGGGAAUAAGUUCCGAUUUAUCGGGAUUGACUGUACCUUACGAAUAAGCCGCUGCAAACUACGUGCCAGCAGCCGCGGUGAAACGUAGGCGGCAAGCGUUACCCGGAAUUACUGGGCGUAAAGAGUGCGCAGGUGGUAUGGUAAGUUUUCGUUAAAAUACACUGGCUCAACCAGUGGACCGCGAAAAUACUGCCGUACUUGAGAAAGUUAGGGGGUACCGGAACAGAUGGUGAAGCAGUGAAAUGCGUUGAUAUCAUCUGGAACACCCAAGGCGAAGGCAGGUACCUGGGGCUUUUCUGACACUGGUGCACGAAAGCGUGGGGAGCGAACGGGAUUAGAUACCCCGGUAGUCCACGCCGUAAACUAUGGACACUAGAUAUCGGGCUGGUGAC